Molecule: ribosomal RNA, 540 nt
Filed under: uncultured bacterium
Lineage: Bacteria
Description: partial 16S ribosomal RNA
Rfam family: Bacterial small subunit ribosomal RNA
Source: RNAcentral
UGGGGAAUUUUGGACAAUGGGCGAAAGCCUGAUCCAGCAAUGCCGCGUGUGUGAAGAAGGCCUUCGGGUUGUAAAGCACUUUUGUCCGGAAAGAAAUCCUUGGCUCUAAUACAGUCGGGGGAUGACGGUACCGGAAGAAUAAGCACCGGCUAACUACGUGCCAGCAGCCGCGGUAAUACGUAGGGUGCAAGCGUUAAUCGGAAUUACUGGGCGUAAAGCGUGCGCAGGCGGUUUGCUAAGACCGAUGUGAAAUCCCCGGGCUCAACCUGGGAACUGCAUUGGUGACUGGCAGGCUAGAGGUAUGGCAGAGGGGGGUAGAAUUCCACGUAGUAGCAGUGAAAUGCGUAGAGAUGUGGAGGAAUACCCGAUGGCGAAGGCAGCCCCCUGGGCCAAUACUGACGCUCAUGCACGAAAGCGUGGGGAGCAAACAGGAUUCAGAUACCCUGGUAGUCCACGCCCUAAAGCGAUUGUCAACUAGUUGUUGGGGACUUCAUUUCCUUAGUAACGUAGCUAACGCGUGAAGUUGACCAGCCUGGGGAG